Molecule: ribosomal RNA, 253 nt
Filed under: uncultured prokaryote
Description: partial 16S ribosomal RNA
Rfam family: Bacterial small subunit ribosomal RNA
Source: RNAcentral
UACGGAGGGGGCGAGCGUUAUUCGGAAUUAUUGGGCGUAAAGGGCGCGUAGGCGGCUUCAUAAGUCAAAGGUGAAAUCCCUCGGCUCAACUGAGGAACUGCCUUUGAAACUGUGAGGCUUGAGGCCGGGAGGGGGUAGCGGAAUUCCCAGUGUAGCGGUGAAAUGCGUAGAUACUGGGAGGAACACCAGUGGCGAAGGCGGCUACCUGGACCGGAACUGACGCUGAGGCGCGAAAGCGUGGGUAGCAAACAGG